GGGGGCGCAUCGGUUUCGACGGGGACGUGGAAGCCGGAGUGGCAGGCCGAGGCGCCGCUGGCCUCGUAAAAAGCGGCAACACAGUAAUUGCCAACAACGAUUACGACUCUGACUUCGCUUAUGCCUACGCGGCGUAAGCAAGUCGCCUGACCGCGCAAAACCGGUCACGCUGUCCGGGAUGACGCCUGAUAUUUCCGGACAGCGGCACUCUGUCAGGCUGGCGAAAACCGGCGUCCGCCGGGGUUAUUCGCAAGAUGUUACGGCGGGCAUGCCCUGUCGCGGCUGAUCAGGGCCAAACGGCAGAGCGAGAAAUCAUUCCUGAUCUAAGCCUGUAGAAGCUUCGCGUGGAAUGCUCUCGGACAGGGGUUCAACUCCCCUCGCCUCCACCA
RNAcentral lists this transfer-messenger RNA (389 nucleotides) under Desulfovibrio sp. It matches the Rfam family "transfer-messenger RNA". Rfam says of the family: Bacterial tmRNA, also known as 10Sa RNA or SsrA, is named for its dual tRNA and mRNA-like properties. Its role is to liberate the mRNA from a stalled ribosome. To accomplish this part of the tmRNA is used as a reading frame that ends in a translation stop signal. Lineage: Bacteria; Pseudomonadati; Thermodesulfobacteriota; Desulfovibrionia; Desulfovibrionales; Desulfovibrionaceae. The record is from RNAcentral.